Long non-coding RNA from Zea mays, 812 nucleotides. RefSeq lists it as uncharacterized. The transcript has 5 exons. The record is from RefSeq and is a predicted model, not a curated record. NCBI's taxonomy places the organism in Eukaryota, Viridiplantae, Streptophyta, Magnoliopsida, Poales, Poaceae.
ACCUUUCUAACUCCCGUCUCUCUCGCGAGUCGCGUCUGUCUUCCUCGGUCCCGCCCGCCACGGGCCGACCCCGCCGCGCCCGCCCACGCCACCCGCCGCGGCUGCCCCUGCCCCGGCCCCGGCUAGGUAGCUCCUCUUCUUCGGCUCAGCCGUCAUGCCCCCUCGCGCGUCCAUGCUGCAGCAGCAGCCGCCUCCUCCCCCGCACCCGCAUCUGCACAGCAUCGGGGGAGUAAAAAAGUCCAUGUCCAUCAGCAGCACUCAACUUACAGCCAGCAAAGCCCGGACUAGCUAGCUAGAAGCAUUUGCAGGUCAAUUGUUUAACUUCUGAAACGUCUCAUCUUCUUUCAUCGAUAACUUACAUAAGGAUAGUGGUCAGCCAUAAUAUUUUGGAAUAUCAUCUUCCUUAUAAAAACAGCAACUAGCACAGGUCCAAGGGAUACACGUCCCGGUGCCCCCACCUCCCGUUUAUUAUCCUUGGUCUUCACCUCCACCUACACCUACAUCUCCAUCUACCGAACAUCAGACCCCUCCAACUACCUUGCCGACGCAUGAACGAGAAGAUGGGUUAGGCUUUGUCGAAACCCUCUUCGCUAGUGGAGGUAUCGACCAUCACUCGUCACUGUAACCCGAUGGUGAUCGGCGACCGUGAGCUUCCAUGUUAUUGUGUUCUGAUACUUGAGACUUUUAUUAUGACUAUGUAUAAGAUAUUAUCUCUUAUUAGUAUUGGAUGAUGAGAUGUAUCUUAUUAUGACUAUGGAUGAGACUUUUGUGAUGUAAUUGAUGAGACUAUGGAUUUAAAUAUUGUUAUGUGA